GGGCAAAAAACAAAGCCUGCCAGGUAUUUCUCUCUCUUUCUGUUGGUCCUCCACAAUUUUGCGUGGUAUUUAGUGAGUGAAUUCUUAAAUUCUUCUCACGCACAAAUAUGCUUAGUCCUUUCAAUAGUUAUGUCUGAAUCUAAGCUUAGGUACAAGCUUUAACCAGGUCAUCUCGAUUAUUGCAGACUCAAAUAAGUUCAGUUUAAAAAUUUUUAGAGUA
RNAcentral lists this unclassified non-coding RNA (220 nucleotides) under Hevea brasiliensis (rubber tree). The record is from RNAcentral. Lineage: Eukaryota; Viridiplantae; Streptophyta; Magnoliopsida; Malpighiales; Euphorbiaceae.